UCUCACCUCUGUAGAGUUCUUUUUUUGAAGUAAAUGGUUUCAUUAUAAAUAGUCAGAUGAGACUGAACUACUCCAAGGAUGGUGCCUAUGAAGUAGCAAACAUUGAGGAAACUCAAUGACAGGGAGCUCCAAUUCCACAGGAAGAAUGACAAAACCCAUUUCAAGACAAAGAGCUCUGGGAAGACCAAGCUAAUUCAAUUAACUCAGUCUUGAGAGGACAAAGAAUGCUGCUAUGGAAUUUACUUUUAUGCUUAUCUAUAAUAAUGAAGAGGAAUUAACCAGACAAAGAGGAAAAAAAUGUAUAUUGCUUACAUCUCCACAUGAGGGCCUCCCCUGGUGGCACAGCAGUUGAGCGCUGGGCUGUGAAGCUGCCCGCAGCCUCUACAGUGCUGGUUCGAUCCCUGGC
Talpa occidentalis (Iberian mole) is the source of this 406-nucleotide long non-coding RNA. RefSeq lists it as uncharacterized. The record is from RefSeq and is a predicted model, not a curated record. Lineage: Eukaryota; Metazoa; Chordata; Mammalia; Eulipotyphla; Talpidae. The transcript has 3 exons.